RNAcentral lists this ribosomal RNA (379 nucleotides) under uncultured bacterium. Its description in RNAcentral is "bacterial SSU rRNA". It matches the Rfam family "Bacterial small subunit ribosomal RNA", at positions 521 to 896 of the family's 1533-position model. The record is from RNAcentral.
UAAUACGUAGGGUGCGAGCGUUGUCCGGAAUUAUUGGGCGUAAAGAGCUCGUAGGCGGUGUGUCGCGUCGGUCGUGAAAACUUGGGGCUUAACCCUGAGCUUGCGGUCGAUACGGGCAUCACUGGAGUUCGGCAGGGGAGACUGGAAUUCCUGGUGUAGCGGUGAAAUGCGCAGAUAUCAGGAGGAACACCGGUGGCGAAGGCGGGUCUCUGGGCCGAUACUGACGCUGAGGAGCGAAAGCGUGGGGAGCGAACAGGAUUAGAUACCCUGGUAGUCCACGCCGUAAACGGUGGGCGCUAGGUGUGGGGGCCAUUCCACGGUCUCUGUGCCGCAGCUAACGCAUUAAGCGCCCCGCCUGGGGAGUACGGCCGCAAGGCUA